CCUACGGGAGGCAGCAGUGGGGAAUAUUGGACAAUGGGGGCAACCCUGAUCCAGCCAUGCCGCGUGUGUGAAGAAGGCCCUCGGGUUGUAAAGCACUUUCAGUGAGGAAGAACGCCUGGUGGUUAAUACCCAUCAGGAAAGACAUCACUCACAGAAGAAGCACCGGCUAACUCCGUGCCAGCAGCCGCGGUAAUACGGAGGGUGCGAGCGUUAAUCGGAAUUACUGGGCGUAAAGCGCGCGUAGGUGGCUUGAUAAGCCGGUUGUGAAAGCCCCGGGCGCAACCUGGGAACGGCAUCCGGAACUGUCAAGCUAGAGUGCAGGAGAGGAAGGUAGAAUUCCCGGUGUAGCGGUGAAAUGCGUAGAGAUCGGGAGGAAUACCAGUGGCGAAGGCGGCCUUCUGGACUGACACUGACACUGAGGUGCGAAAGCGUGGGUAGCAAACAGGAUUAGAUACCCGAGUAGUC
This 465-nucleotide ribosomal RNA is filed under the name Vreelandella stevensii. RNAcentral describes it as "partial 16S ribosomal RNA". It matches the Rfam family "Bacterial small subunit ribosomal RNA", at positions 338 to 795 of the family's 1533-position model. The record is from RNAcentral. Lineage: Bacteria; Pseudomonadati; Pseudomonadota; Gammaproteobacteria; Oceanospirillales; Halomonadaceae.